UCGCGGGCGACUGCGAAUCUGAAGGAAGCCGGAGGCAAAGUGCUGGCCUGACGAGCAGGAAGCAGAGAUAAGGCGGCGCAUCGGGGUAAGGCGGCCCAUAUCGUCAAAGCCCUGUACUUGCACGGAACGAUGCGACGUAAAUCUGACAGGCAUAAGCAUGAAGGUCACGCGA
Burkholderiales bacterium 68-12 is the source of this 172-nucleotide non-coding RNA. The record is from Rfam. Lineage: Bacteria; Pseudomonadati; Pseudomonadota; Betaproteobacteria; Burkholderiales.